Small nucleolar RNA from Mastomys coucha (southern multimammate mouse), 138 nucleotides. RefSeq annotates it as small nucleolar RNA SNORA67. The transcript has a single exon. NCBI's taxonomy places the organism in Eukaryota, Metazoa, Chordata, Mammalia, Rodentia, Muridae. The record is from RefSeq and is a predicted model, not a curated record.
GUCUGAAGACAGCAACAGUGUACUCAUACAUAAAAUAAAUAAAUUUUUUUUUAAUUAUUCAGAAGAAAGCCAGGCAUGCCUAAGGUCUCUGAACAAGGAAUAUUUGUUUCCUUUGCAUUCCUUUGGCUGCCUACAUGU